CAGUAGCCGCGGUAAUACGAAGGGUGCAAGCGUUACUCGGAAUUACUGGGCGUAAAGCGUGCGUAGGUGGUGGUUUAAGUCCGUUGUGAAAGCCCUGGGCUCAACCUGGGAAUUGCAGUGGAUACUGGGUCACUAGAGUGUGGUAGAGGAUAGUGGAAUUUCCGGUGUAGCAGUGAAAUGCGUAGAGAUCGGAAGGAACAUCUGUGGCGAAGGCGACUAUCUGGGCCAACACUGACACUGAGGCACGAAAGCGUGGGGAGCAAACAGGAUUAGAUACCCGCGUAGUCCCUGUCUCUUAUAU
RNAcentral lists this ribosomal RNA (301 nucleotides) under uncultured bacterium. RNAcentral's name for it is "partial 16S ribosomal RNA". It matches the Rfam family "Bacterial small subunit ribosomal RNA", at positions 509 to 809 of the family's 1533-position model. The record is from RNAcentral.